This 182-nucleotide RNase P RNA is filed under the name Veillonella sp. Its description in RNAcentral is "partial RNase P RNA component class A". It matches the Rfam family "Bacterial RNase P class A", at positions 1 to 196 of the family's 367-position model. From Rfam's summary of the family: Ribonuclease P (RNase P) is a ubiquitous endoribonuclease, found in archaea, bacteria and eukarya as well as chloroplasts and mitochondria. Its best characterised activity is the generation of mature 5'-ends of tRNAs by cleaving the 5'-leader elements of precursor-tRNAs. Lineage: Bacteria; Bacillati; Bacillota; Negativicutes; Veillonellales; Veillonellaceae. The record is from RNAcentral.
CAAGUAUGAAAGACGGUUGCGAGUCUAUAAGACUCGAGGAAAGUCCGAGCUCCAUAGGGCAGGAUGCCAGAUAACGUCUGGCGAGGGUAACCUUAGGGAAAGUGCCAUAGAAAAGGAAACCGCCACGUAAGUGGUAAGGGUGGAAAGGUGAGGUAAGAGCUCACCAGCAGUCUGGUAACAGG